UUAUCUCUGGGUUCUAAUCCUCAGUUUGAGCACGACAACGGCCAACCUUUAAACGGGCUUCGUGAACUCGAGAGUUUGCAAGGACAGAAGCUCGGGCCUUGCUCCAAUGGCCUCUUCUACUACACUUACCUGUUCCUCUUUCUUGGGUGAACCCAUCUCCUCUGCCUCCUCCUCUUCUAAGCCCCUUUCUGGGGCCACCCAUUUGAGAUUCUCUCCUCCUCCAGGAAAUCAGUGUUCACAUAGAUGUUUUCUAGUGUUUUCUAGGAAGCUAUCAGGAUUAGAGGAGGCAAUGCGAAUUAGAAGGGAACGUGAACUGCAAAGUUCUGGGAAAGUGAGGAGAAGGCCACCUCUAAGGCGUGGAAAGGUUUCUGCCCGUCUUCCUGUGCCAGAAAACAUCCCCAAGCCACCCUAUGUAAACUCAAGUUCAUUACCAGAUCUUUCAAAGGAGCCACAAAUACAUGAUGCUGAGGGCAUUGCUCGCAUGAAAGCUGCUUGUGAGCUUGCUGCACGGGUCUUGGAAUAUGCAGGAACUUUGGUUAGGCCAUCCAUAACAACAAAUGAGAUUGACAAAGCAGUGCACAAAAUGAUUAUUGAUGCCGGCGCGUAUCCUUCGCCUCUUGGCUAUGGUGGAUUUCCAAAGAGUGUGUGCACAUCGGUUAAUGAAUGCAUGUGCCAUGGAAUUCCCGAUUCUCGACAGUUACAGAGUGGAGAUAUAAUAAACAUUGAUGUCACCGUCUUCUUGAAUGUGAUGUCAUUAUUGCGACAUUGCCCUAAAGCCCUAACUUUUUUUCCAACAGUAUCUGUGCCCAUGGAGGGGUAUCAUGGGGACACUUCAAAGACAUUCCUUUGUGGGAAAGUUGAUGAACAAACGGAACGCCUUGUCAGGGUCACAGAAGAGUGCAUGAACAGAGCUAUAUCUGCCUGCAAAGAUGGUGCUAACUUCAGGAAGAUUGGAAAGAAGAUAAGUGAGCAUGCUGAAAGAUAUGGGUAUGGUGUGGCUGAAUGUUUCGUUGGGCAUGGCGUAGGAACUGUAUUCCACUCCGAACCACUUAUAUUGCAUUUCCGUAAUGACAAACCUGGAUGCAUGGUGGAAGGCCAAACAUUCACUAUAGAGCCCAUACUGACAAUGGGAAGCAUUGAGUCCAUUACAUGGGAUGAUAAUUGGACAACGCUUACUGCUGAUGGGAGCCCUGCUGCACAGUUUGAGCACACGAUAUUGAUAACUAGAACUGGUGCUGAAAUUUUAACCAAGUGCUGAGAUCAGGGCAACUUUUCCAACCAAUAUGUGUAAGAUAUUAUCUGCUCUGGAAAUCCUGAAUUAGUUGAGAAGAUACAUUGAAGAUGCAUAUCUGCUCUUGAAAUACUGAAUUAGUUGGGGAGAUACAUUGAAGAUUCAUGGCAGAAGCAGAGAUCACUGAAGCAUAACCUUAUUUGGCCAAAGGGAGGGGAACUAUAGUUGAAGAUGCACGAAUGUCGGUGCGCUCGCGGUUGCACUAUUACUUGUCUAUAGAUGUUAUAAUGAAGUUGUUGUGCGGCUUCAGUUGCUUUGUAGCCUCAAUGUCGCACGUAGGAGGCCGUACUAAAACUUGAAGCCACAUACAUGCAACCACAAGUUCACCAAUUAACGGUAAACUUGCAUCACAAUUACAUUGGAAGGUUACGACCCUACUUUGACAUCAACACAUUGUCAAACUUCUUAUAUCAUUGUUAAGGUGCUUGUUUUGGUUCAUAAA
Molecule: non-coding RNA, 1733 nt
Organism: Amborella trichopoda
Lineage: Eukaryota; Viridiplantae; Streptophyta; Magnoliopsida; Amborellales; Amborellaceae
Source: RefSeq, a predicted model, not a curated record